GUAUUUUCAUCAAUAUCAUUAAGGAUCUUGCUCUUACUAGUGUGGAACUCUUGAAGGAUCGAGAUGCUACUCAGACAAAUCUGACUCUCCUUGCUAGUUUUGCUCGACAAGGGAGAGUUUUCCUAGGACUGCCUCUGUCUGGACAAGAAAUUCAUGAAGAGUUUUUCAAGGGCCUUAAUAUCACAGCAGAUCAGAAGAAAAUAUUCAAGAAA
Molecule: unclassified non-coding RNA, 212 nt
Filed under: Hevea brasiliensis (rubber tree)
Lineage: Eukaryota; Viridiplantae; Streptophyta; Magnoliopsida; Malpighiales; Euphorbiaceae
Source: RNAcentral